Molecule: ribosomal RNA, 2642 nt
Filed under: Escherichia coli
Lineage: Bacteria; Pseudomonadati; Pseudomonadota; Gammaproteobacteria; Enterobacterales; Enterobacteriaceae
Description: bacterial LSU rRNA
Rfam family: Bacterial large subunit ribosomal RNA
Source: RNAcentral
UUAAGCGACUAAGCGUACACGGUGGAUGCCCUGGCAGUCAGAGGCGAUGAAGGACGUGCUAAUCUGCGAUAAGCGUCGGUAAGGUGAUAUGAACCGUUAUAACCGGCGAUUUCCGAAUGGGGAAACCCAGUGUGUUUCGACACACUAUCAUUAACUGAAUCCAUAGGUUAAUGAGGCGAACCGGGGGAACUGAAACAUCUAAGUACCCCGAGGAAAAGAAAUCAACCGAGAUUCCCCCAGUAGCGGCGAGCGAACGGGGAGCAGCCCAGAGCCUGAAUCAGUGUGUGUGUUAGUGGAAGCGUCUGGAAAGGCGCGCGAUACAGGGUGACAGCCCCGUACACAAAAAUGCACAUGCUGUGAGCUCGAUGAGUAGGGCGGGACACGUGGUAUCCUGUCUGAAUAUGGGGGGACCAUCCUCCAAGGCUAAAUACUCCUGACUGACCGAUAGUGAACCAGUACCGUGAGGGAAAGGCGAAAAGAACCCCGGCGAGGGGAGUGAAAAAGAACCUGAAACCGUGUACGUACAAGCAGUGGGAGCACGCUUAGGCGUGUGACUGCGUACCUUUUGUAUAAUGGGUCAGCGACUUAUAUUCUGUAGCAAGGUUAACCGAAUAGGGGAGCCGAAGGGAAACCGAGUCUUAACUGGGCGUUAAGUUGCAGGGUAUAGACCCGAAACCCGGUGAUCUAGCCAUGGGCAGGUUGAAGGUUGGGUAACACUAACUGGAGGACCGAACCGACUAAUGUUGAAAAAUUAGCGGAUGACUUGUGGCUGGGGGUGAAAGGCCAAUCAAACCGGGAGAUAGCUGGUUCUCCCCGAAAGCUAUUUAGGUAGCGCCUCGUGAAUUCAUCUCCGGGGGUAGAGCACUGUUUCGGCAAGGGGGUCAUCCCGACUUACCAACCCGAUGCAAACUGCGAAUACCGGAGAAUGUUAUCACGGGAGACACACGGCGGGUGCUAACGUCCGUCGUGAAGAGGGAAACAACCCAGACCGCCAGCUAAGGUCCCAAAGUCAUGGUUAAGUGGGAAACGAUGUGGGAAGGCCCAGACAGCCAGGAUGUUGGCUUAGAAGCAGCCAUCAUUUAAAGAAAGCGUAAUAGCUCACUGGUCGAGUCGGCCUGCGCGGAAGAUGUAACGGGGCUAAACCAUGCACCGAAGCUGCGGCAGCGACACUAUGUGUUGUUGGGUAGGGGAGCGUUCUGUAAGCCUGUGAAGGUGUGCUGUGAGGCAUGCUGGAGGUAUCAGAAGUGCGAAUGCUGACAUAAGUAACGAUAAAGCGGGUGAAAAGCCCGCUCGCCGGAAGACCAAGGGUUCCUGUCCAACGUUAAUCGGGGCAGGGUGAGUCGACCCCUAAGGCGAGGCCGAAAGGCGUAGUCGAUGGGAAACAGGUUAAUAUUCCUGUACUUGGUGUUACUGCGAAGGGGGGACGGAGAAGGCUAUGUUGGCCGGGCGACGGUUGUCCCGGUUUAAGCGUGUAGGCUGGUUUUCCAGGCAAAUCCGGAAAAUCAAGGCUGAGGCGUGAUGACGAGGCACUACGGUGCUGAAGCAACAAAUGCCCUGCUUCCAGGAAAAGCCUCUAAGCAUCAGGUAACAUCAAAUCGUACCCCAAACCGACACAGGUGGUCAGGUAGAGAAUACCAAGGCGCUUGAGAGAACUCGGGUGAAGGAACUAGGCAAAAUGGUGCCGUAACUUCGGGAGAAGGCACGCUGAUAUGUAGGUGAAGCGACUUGCUCGUGGAGCUGAAAUCAGUCGAAGAUACCAGCUGGCUGCAACUGUUUAUUAAAAACACAGCACUGUGCAAACACGAAAGUGGACGUAUACGGUGUGACGCCUGCCCGGUGCCGGAAGGUUAAUUGAUGGGGUUAGCGCAAGCGAAGCUCUUGAUCGAAGCCCCGGUAAACGGCGGCCGUAACUAUAACGGUCCUAAGGUAGCGAAAUUCCUUGUCGGGUAAGUUCCGACCUGCACGAAUGGCGUAAUGAUGGCCAGGCUGUCUCCACCCGAGACUCAGUGAAAUUGAACUCGCUGUGAAGAUGCAGUGUACCCGCGGCAAGACGGAAAGACCCCGUGAACCUUUACUAUAGCUUGACACUGAACAUUGAGCCUUGAUGUGUAGGAUAGGUGGGAGGCUUUGAAGUGUGGACGCCAGUCUGCAUGGAGCCGACCUUGAAAUACCACCCUUUAAUGUUUGAUGUUCUAACGUUGACCCGUAAUCCGGGUUGCGGACAGUGUCUGGUGGGUAGUUUGACUGGGGCGGUCUCCUCCUAAAGAGUAACGGAGGAGCACGAAGGUUGGCUAAUCCUGGUCGGACAUCAGGAGGUUAGUGCAAUGGCAUAAGCCAGCUUGACUGCGAGCGUGACGGCGCGAGCAGGUGCGAAAGCAGGUCAUAGUGAUCCGGUGGUUCUGAAUGGAAGGGCCAUCGCUCAACGGAUAAAAGGUACUCCGGGGAUAACAGGCUGAUACCGCCCAAGAGUUCAUAUCGACGGCGGUGUUUGGCACCUCGAUGUCGGCUCAUCACAUCCUGGGGCUGAAGUAGGUCCCAAGGGUAUGGCUGUUCGCCAUUUAAAGUGGUACGCGAGCUGGGUUUAGAACGUCGUGAGACAGUUCGGUCCCUAUCUGCCGUGGGCGCUGGAGAACUGAGGGGGG